UUUUAGUUUGGCGACAACCGCUUCGUUAUCUAAUUUCUCAUUUGCAAAAAGCGAAGACGUCUUAAUCAUCAUCUUCUUCAUUGCCGUCGCUUGUAUUACAAAAUGCGAAACUAAUGU
Molecule: small RNA, 117 nt
Filed under: Arabidopsis thaliana (thale cress)
Lineage: Eukaryota; Viridiplantae; Streptophyta; Magnoliopsida; Brassicales; Brassicaceae
Description: ATSL170020
Source: RNAcentral